This 476-nucleotide ribosomal RNA is filed under the name uncultured bacterium. RNAcentral's name for it is "partial 16S ribosomal RNA". It matches the Rfam family "Bacterial small subunit ribosomal RNA", at positions 28 to 505 of the family's 1533-position model. The record is from RNAcentral.
GAUGAACGCUGGCGGCGUGCUUAACACAUGCAAGUCGAACGAGAAGUGAAGACGGAAACCUUCGGGCGGAAGGCUUUAUUUCGAGUGGCGGACGGGUGAGUAACGCGUGGGUAACCUGCCUCAUACAGGGGGAUAACAGUUGGAAACGACUGUUAAUACCGCAUAAGUCCACAGCACCGCAUGGUGCGGGGGUAAAAACUCCGGUGGUAUGAGAUGGACCCGCGUUCGAUUAGCCAGUUGGCGGGGUAACGGCCCACCAAAGCGACGAUCGAUAGCCGAUCUGAGAGGAGGCCCGGCCACGUGGGGACUGAGACACGGCCAAAACCCCCAGGGGGGGCAGCAGGGGGGAAAGUGGAAAAAGGGGGGAAACCCGGAAGCACCGACGCCGGGUAAAGAAAGAAUUUUUGCGGAAUGAAAAGCCCUAUCAGCAGGAAAAAAAAGGACGGUCCCUGGGUAAGAACCCCCGGCUAACUACG